Molecule: ribosomal RNA, 448 nt
Filed under: uncultured bacterium
Lineage: Bacteria
Description: partial 16S ribosomal RNA
Rfam family: Bacterial small subunit ribosomal RNA
Source: RNAcentral
AACGAACGCUGGCGGCAGGCUUAACACAUGCAAGUCGAACGCAUCCUUCGGGGUGAGUGGCAGACGGGUGAGUAACGCGUGGGAACGUGCCCUUCAGUUCGGGAUAACCCAGGGAAACUUGGCUAAUACCGGAUACGUGCGAGAGCAGAAAGAUUUAUCGCUGAAGGAUCGGCCCGCGUCUGAUUAGCUAGUUGGUGGGGUAAUGGCCCACCAAGGCGACGAUCAGUAGCUGGUCUGAGGGGAUGAUCAGCCACAUUGGGACUGAGACACGGCCCAAACUCCUACGGGAGGCUGCAGUGGGGAAUAUUGGACAAUGGGCGCAAGCCUGAUCCAGCCAUGCCGCGUGAGUGUUGAAGGCCUUAGGGUUGUAAAGCUCUUUCGUCCGGGACGAUAAUGACGGUACCGGAAGAAGAAGCCCCGGCUAACUUCGUGCCAGCCGCCGCUGUAA